GAUGGAUUAGGGGUGUUUAGACAA
This 24-nucleotide non-coding RNA is filed under the name Arabidopsis thaliana (thale cress). Lineage: Eukaryota; Viridiplantae; Streptophyta; Magnoliopsida; Brassicales; Brassicaceae. The record is from RNAcentral.